GUGUGGAUGCAGGGUGGGAGAGUGAAUCAGCUGUAGGUGGCGAGUGGCUGGGACUGUUGACCUGUGUGUAGAAGCCUUGGUCAACUAUCUCCUAUAAUAUCACUGGAGCUCCUGACUCCAUAGACAGUGUCUCAUGAUCUACAAACCUCAUGUCUCAUGGGUCUUGGCCUCGAUGUGACAAAGAAGUCUGCACAGAUCUCUCGUAACACAGCAUCUGCCCUCCUCCAACUACGUUACCCACAUGUUUCCUGCAACACCUUGUCAUGUGAUGGGAUGAAGGCGGGAGCUGAGUGGAAUUCCAGGGAGAACGCAGUGCGACGCCUUCGCUGAGGCCCGGCUGCACCCGGCGACUCUGAUGUCUGCUUUAUUGCAAACAACCCACGGUGCACAGGCGCUGGCUGAGCUGCAGCCUUUCAUCAACGAGCAGCCCCGCGUUGAGCGGCAUCCAGUGCCUUCCUCUGGCCACCAUUUGGCAAAUUGGACCAUGCAUCAAAGCAGCGUCACUAGAAGAGACCCGCUACCUGCCUCAAACCG
Molecule: long non-coding RNA, 534 nt
Filed under: Betta splendens (Siamese fighting fish)
Lineage: Eukaryota; Metazoa; Chordata; Actinopteri; Anabantiformes; Osphronemidae
Description: lncRNA (ENSBSLG00000020882.1)
Source: RNAcentral